Carcharodon carcharias (great white shark) is the source of this 476-nucleotide long non-coding RNA. RefSeq lists it as uncharacterized. Lineage: Eukaryota; Metazoa; Chordata; Chondrichthyes; Lamniformes; Lamnidae. The record is from RefSeq and is a predicted model, not a curated record. The transcript is spliced from 2 exons.
CCCCAUCUCUGGAAUCAUAAAUUCUCCCAAGCUCUCUCUCUUGACUCCACACACACACACACACACACCGUCUGGAGUCUCCAGUUCUCUGAUCCCGACACGGAAGGACUCUGGUCAAGAUAAUGAAGCCUCUGAUCCUGGUUCUUGCUCUCCUGCUGAUCGCUCAGGAUUUCCAGGUCAUGGGAUUCUCCUAUGGAUGUGCCAGAAUACGAGGGGGCAGAUGUCGAAGUGGUUCCUGCUACAAGAAAGAGGUUCAGAUACCCUUGAGGUGCUUCAAGGGGUAUAAAUGCUGCAUGCCGUAUCGAUUCAUGAGAGGAUGAAGGAGGGAAGGGAAAUCAAGGCCAGUGACUCCAGCCCCAAUCCAAAGGCCCGUGUCUCCAGCACUGCCUUGAGGCUCCACGGACUGUGUAGGGCCCAUGCCCCCUGACCCACUGGUUCCUGGAUCAUGUGAAUAAAACUGGCUGCGUUGGUCACUG